CCAGCUCAGCCAAAUCUCCACUCUGCUAUAGCAGAAGCAAUAAUGUUUGCUUUAAAAAGAUUUCUUGACCUAUGCCUUUUCUUAGAAAGUUUGAUAGAUUAGUUAGAACUUCAGAUCAUCAGAUCAGUCUCAAAUGCGUUUCUUGGAAUUUUAUAUUUGACAAUAUUUAUACUAUACCAAACUCAUUUGCAGUUCUUAGGUUUGUUGGUUAAAACAUUUUUUUAAAGCAGUAAGUUUAUAGAAAAUGUUUUCAUUUAAUGGAAGGCUGGGGAAUGUCCAGCAUCAACCCCUAUGGCAUGCAUUCCCAGUGGCCUUCUCAUCUGGGCCUGGAACCUUUGGUUCAGGGCUUAGGGGAGAACAGGCCACAUGGCAACAGCCACACAGUCAUUGCCUUCAACACAGAGCCACGUGUCCCCAAACAGCAAUAGUCAUGCCCUUGUCCAGGCUGGGAUCUAAUUGAUACAAUAGGUCGUUGACUCCCUCCUAGUAGAGCUAUCUAGGUUUGUCUGGAAAGUUUCCGACCCUGGCUUAUAGGCACCACACCUCAUGUACUCCUCAUGGCUUGGAUCUCUGUAUUCAGCCUUUGUUCAGUCCAAUAAACUUUGAGUAGAUGAUCUC
This 618-nucleotide long non-coding RNA is filed under the name Homo sapiens (human). Its description in RNAcentral is "non-protein coding lnc-DPP4-9:1". The record is from RNAcentral. Lineage: Eukaryota; Metazoa; Chordata; Mammalia; Primates; Hominidae.